This 253-nucleotide ribosomal RNA is filed under the name uncultured bacterium. Its description in RNAcentral is "partial 16S ribosomal RNA". It matches the Rfam family "Bacterial small subunit ribosomal RNA", at positions 524 to 776 of the family's 1533-position model. The record is from RNAcentral.
UACAGAGGUCUCAAGCGUUGUUCGGAUUCAUUGGGCGUAAAGGGUGCGUAGGUGGCGGGGUAAGUCAGGUGUGAAAUCUCGGGGCUCAACCCCGAAACUGCACUUGAUACUGCCUUGCUCGAGUACGGGAGAGGAGAUUGGAAUUUACGGUGUAGCAGUGAAAUGCGUAGAUAUCAAGUGGAACACCAGUGGCGAAGGCGAAUCCCUGGAAAAUACCUGACACUGAGGCACGAAAGCUAGGGGAGCAAACAGG